AAGUCGUAACAAGGUCUCCGUUGGUGAACCAGCGGAGGGAUCAUUAAAGAGUAGUUUUUACAACAACUCCAAACCCAUGUGAACUUACCUAUGUUGCCUCGGCGGGGAAACUACCCGGUAGCUACCCUGUAGCUACCCUGUAAGGACUACUCGUCGACGGACCAUUAAACUCUGUUUUUCUAUGAAACUUCUGAGUGUUUUAACUUAAUAAAUUAAAACUUUCAACAACGGAUCUCUUGGUUCUG
RNAcentral lists this unclassified non-coding RNA (245 nucleotides) under Paraeutypella citricola. RNAcentral describes it as "Eutypella citricola partial internal transcribed spacer region". The stretch from base 1 to 46 matches the Rfam family "Eukaryotic small subunit ribosomal RNA", at positions 1786 to 1831 of the family's 1831-position model. Lineage: Eukaryota; Fungi; Ascomycota; Sordariomycetes; Xylariales; Diatrypaceae. The record is from RNAcentral.